UUGGGAUUCACCCUGUAGGAGUGCUUUUGUUCUGAAACGUUGAAUUGAAGGCUCACUCGCCGCUGCGAGAACCUAAGAUGCUUAUCGCGAAGAGGAGGCAAAUAAAAUGCUGCCAUCUCAGCAUCAGAUAAAACAGAGCCAAAGUCUGGGAACCAUCACAUGCCUCCAACACUCCCACUCCAUCAUAUAAAAACACGGUGUGCGCACGAGCGAGCGCGCGCACACCGAGUAGGGGGCUACACACAAAAGGCGCACAUGCUCACACGCAAAACAGCGCCGUGCUCUUUGUAUCUGCCAACUGAUGCAGAUGAUAGGGCUGCAGAUGAGUGCCGGCUAACCAGAGACUAGCGGGUACACGUGGCUUCAGAGACAAUGGCAGGCCGUAGCCUCGGGAGGAGAACUUUCAACCCUUAGAAACAUGCCGAGGGAGGAAUUUAAACACAAUUGUGUUUUAUUACGUGGCG
Molecule: long non-coding RNA, 464 nt
Organism: Gasterosteus aculeatus aculeatus (three-spined stickleback)
Lineage: Eukaryota; Metazoa; Chordata; Actinopteri; Perciformes; Gasterosteidae
Source: Ensembl